GAGCUUGCUCCUCGGAGUUAGCGGCGGACGGGUGAGUAACACGUGGGUAAUCUGCCUGUAAGACUGGGAUAACUCCGGGAAACCGGGGCUAAUACCGGAUAAUUCCAUGAAACGCAUGUCUUCUUGUUGAAAGACGGUUUCGGCUGACACUUACAGAUGAACCCGCGGCGCAUUAGCUAGUUGGUGAGGUAACGGCUCACCAAGGCGACGAUGCGUAGCCGACCUGAGAGGGUGAUCGGCCACACUGGGACUGAGACACGGCCCAGACUCCUACGGGAGGCAGCAGUAGGGAAUCUUCCGCAAUGGACGAAAGUCUGACCGAGCAACGCCGCGUGAGCGAUGAAGGUCUUCGGAUCGUAAAGCUCUGUUGUUAGAGAAGAACAAGUGCGAGAGUAACUGCUCGCACCUUGACGGUACCUAACCAGAAAGCCACGGCUAACUACGUGCCAGCAGCCGCGGUAAUACGUAGGUGGCAAGCGUUAUCCGGAAUUAUUGGGCGUAAAGGGCUCGCAGGCGGUCUCUUAAGUCUGAUGUGAAAGCCCACGGCUCAACCGGGGAGGGUCAUUGGAAACUGGGAGACUUGAGUGCAGGAGAGAAAAGUGGAAUUCCACGUGUAGCGGUGAAAUGCGUAGAGAUGUGGAGGAACACCAGUGGCGAAGGCGACUUUUUGGCCUGUAACUGACGCUGAGGAGCGAAAGCGUGGG
Molecule: ribosomal RNA, 704 nt
Filed under: Fictibacillus sp.
Lineage: Bacteria; Bacillati; Bacillota; Bacilli; Caryophanales; Fictibacillaceae
Description: bacterial SSU rRNA
Rfam family: Bacterial small subunit ribosomal RNA
Source: RNAcentral